RNAcentral lists this ribosomal RNA (466 nucleotides) under uncultured Pseudomonadota bacterium. RNAcentral's name for it is "bacterial SSU rRNA". It matches the Rfam family "Bacterial small subunit ribosomal RNA", at positions 338 to 795 of the family's 1533-position model. Lineage: Bacteria; Pseudomonadati; Pseudomonadota. The record is from RNAcentral.
CCUACGGGGGGCAGCAGUGGGGAAUCUUGCGCAAUGGGCGCAAUCCUGACGCAGCAACGCCGCGUGGGUGAUGAAGGUCUUCGGAUCGUAAAGCCCUGUCGGAGGGGAAGAUGCUUUCUGUCGCUAAUAUCGGCAGGAGGUGACGGUACCCUCAAAGGAAGCACCGGCUAACUCUGUGCCAGCAGCCGCGGUAAUACAGAGGGUGCGAGCGUUGUUCGGAAUUAUUGGGCGUAAAGGGAGUGUAGGCGGUUUGGAAAGUCUUCUGUGAAAUCUACGGGCUUAGCCUGUAACGUGCAGAGGAAACUUCCAGGCUUGAGUGUCGGAGAGGAUAGGGGAAUACCCAGUGUAGAGGUGAAAUUCGUAGAGAUUGGGUGGAACACCAGUGGCGAAGGCGCCUAUCUGGCUGACAACUGACGCUGAGACUCGAAAGCGUGGGGAGCAAACAGGAUUAGAUACCCCUGUAGUC